AAGCCUAUAACUCAGUUGGUUAGAGUAUAUGCCUGAUAAGCAUAAAGUCAGUAGUUCAACUCUACUUAGGCUUA
This 74-nucleotide transfer RNA is filed under the name Coscinodiscus granii. RNAcentral's name for it is "tRNA-Ile". It matches the Rfam family "tRNA". From Rfam's summary of the family: Transfer RNA (tRNA) molecules are approximately 80 nucleotides in length. Their secondary structure includes four short double-helical elements and three loops (D, anti-codon, and T loops). Lineage: Eukaryota; Bacillariophyta; Coscinodiscophyceae; Coscinodiscales; Coscinodiscaceae. The record is from RNAcentral.